GCGUCCUCAGCUAAGCUGGAUAGCGUACCUGGCUACGAGCCAGGCGGUCGGAGGUUCGAAUCCUCCAGGACGCGCCA
Molecule: transfer RNA, 77 nt
Filed under: Vibrio parahaemolyticus
Lineage: Bacteria; Pseudomonadati; Pseudomonadota; Gammaproteobacteria; Vibrionales; Vibrionaceae
Description: tRNA-Arg
Rfam family: tRNA
About the family: Transfer RNA (tRNA) molecules are approximately 80 nucleotides in length. Their secondary structure includes four short double-helical elements and three loops (D, anti-codon, and T loops). Further hydrogen bonds mediate the characteristic L-shaped molecular structure. tRNAs have two regions of fundamental functional importance: the anti-codon, which is responsible for specific mRNA codon recognition, and the 3' end, to which the tRNAs corresponding amino acid is attached (by aminoacyl-tRNA synthetases). tRNAs cope with the degeneracy of the genetic code in two manners: having more than one tRNA (with a specific anti-codon) for a particular amino acid; and 'wobble' base-pairing, i.e. permitting non-standard base-pairing at the 3rd anti-codon position.
Source: RNAcentral